RNAcentral lists this unclassified non-coding RNA (382 nucleotides) under uncultured bacterium. RNAcentral describes it as "contains 16S-23S intergenic spacer region". The record is from RNAcentral.
UCCGUGUUCACCACGGCAGUCUCAGUAGAGUGCCCGGCCGAACCGCUGGCAACUACUGACAAGGGUUGCGCUCGUUGCGGGACUUAACCCAACAUCUCACGACACGAGCUGACGACAGCCAUGCAGCACCUUGCAUCCGGCUUGGUUUUACCCAAGAGACCCCAUCUCUGGGGCUGUCCGGAGCAUUCUAGCCCAGGUAAGGUUCUUCGCGUUGCGUCGAAUUAAACCACAUGCUCCACCGCUUGUGCGGGCCCCCGUCAAUUCCUUUGAGUUUCAGCCUUGCGGCCGUACUCCCCAGGCGGGGCACUUCAUGCGUUAGCGCCGGUACUCCAAGGGUCGCUCCCCGGAGCACCUAGUGCCCAUCGUUUACGGCGUGGACUAC